GCCCAAGAGACUGGGAUAACACCUGGAAACAGAUGCUAAUACCGGAUAACAACACUAGACGCAUGUCUAGAGUUUAAAAGAUGGUUCUGCUAUCACUCUUGGAUGGACCUGCGGUGCAUUAGCUAGUUGGUAAGGUAACGGCUUACCAAGGCAAUGAUGCAUAGCCGAGUUGAGAGACUGAUCGGCCACAUUGGGACUGAGACACGGCCCAAACUCCUACGGGAGGCAGCAGUAGGGAAUCUUCCACAAUGGACGCAAGUCUGAUGGAGCAACGCCGCGUGAGUGAAGAAGGGUUUCGGCUCGUAAAGCUCUGUUGGUAGUGAAGAAAGAUAGAGGUAGUAACUGGCCUUUAUUUGACGGUAAUUACUUAGAAAGUCACGGCUAACUACGUGCCAGCAGCCGCGGUAAUACGUAGGUGGCAAGCGUUGUCCGGAUUUAUUGGGCGUAAAGCGAGUGCAGGCGGUUCAAUAAGUCUGAUGUGAAGCCUUCGGCUCAACCGGAGAAUUGCAUCAGAAACUGUUGAACUUGAGUGCAGAAGAGGAGAGUGGAACUCCAUGUGUAGCGGUGGAAUGCGUAGAUAUAUGGAAGAACACCAGUGGCGAAGGCGGCUCUCUGGUCUGCAACUGACGCUGAGGCUCGAAAG
This 643-nucleotide ribosomal RNA is filed under the name uncultured Bacilli bacterium. RNAcentral describes it as "bacterial SSU rRNA". It matches the Rfam family "Bacterial small subunit ribosomal RNA", at positions 128 to 759 of the family's 1533-position model. Lineage: Bacteria; Bacillati; Bacillota; Bacilli. The record is from RNAcentral.